CCUACGGGAGGCUGCAGUAGGGAAUAUUGUUCAAUGGGGGAAACCCUGAAGCAGCAACGCCGCGUGGAGGAUGAAGGUUUUCGGAUUGUAAACUCCUUUUGUUAGAGAAGCUAAUGACGGCAUCCAACGAAUAAGCACCGGCUAACUCCGUGCCAGCAGCCGCGUUAAUACGGAGGUGGCAAGCGUUACGCGGAAUCACUGGGCGUAAAGAGCGCGUAUGCGGGAUAGCAAGUCAGAUGUGAAAUCAUAUGGCUUAACCAUAGAACUGCAGUUGAAACUGUUAUUCUAGAGUAUGGGAGAGGUACGUGGAAUUCUUGGUGUAGGGGUAAAAUCCGUAGAGAUCAAGAGGAAUACUCAUUGCGAAGGCGACCUGCUAGAACAUAACUGACGCUGAUGCGCGAAAGCGUGGGGAGCAAACAGGAUUAGAUACCCUUGUAGUC
Molecule: ribosomal RNA, 440 nt
Filed under: uncultured bacterium
Lineage: Bacteria
Description: partial 16S ribosomal RNA
Rfam family: Bacterial small subunit ribosomal RNA
Source: RNAcentral